RNAcentral lists this ribosomal RNA (427 nucleotides) under uncultured bacterium. Its description in RNAcentral is "bacterial SSU rRNA". It matches the Rfam family "Bacterial small subunit ribosomal RNA", at positions 355 to 775 of the family's 1533-position model. The record is from RNAcentral.
UCGAGAAUUUUUCUCAAUGGGGGAAACCCUGAAGGAGCGACGCCGCGUGGAGGAUGAAGGUCUUCGGGUUGUAAACUCCUGUCAUUUGGGAACAAUGCUGACGCGUUAACUGCGCGUUAGUUGAUAGUACCAGAAGAGGAAGAGACGGCUAACUCUGUGCCAGCAGCCGCGGUAAUACAGAGGUCUCAAGCGUUGUUCGGAUUCAUUGGGCGUAAAGGGUGUGUAGGUGGCGCGCUAAGUCGGGUGUGAAAUCUCGGGGCUUAACUCCGAAACUGCAUUCGAUACUGGCGUGCUUGAGGACUGGAGAGGAGACUGGAAUUCAUGGUGUAGCAGUGAAAUGCGUAGAGAUCAUGAGGAAGACCAGUGGCGAAGGCGGGUCUCUGGACAGUUCCUGACACUGAGACACGAAGGCCAGGGGAGCAAACGG